GGCGGUGUAGCUCAGCUGGUUAGAGCACGCGGCUCAUAUCCGCGUUGUCCGGGGUUCAAGUCCCUGCACCGCCACCA
This 77-nucleotide transfer RNA is filed under the name Acidobacteriota bacterium. RNAcentral describes it as "tRNA-Met". It matches the Rfam family "tRNA". From Rfam's summary of the family: Transfer RNA (tRNA) molecules are approximately 80 nucleotides in length. Lineage: Bacteria; Pseudomonadati; Acidobacteriota. RNAcentral also lists the same sequence under 1 other name. The record is from RNAcentral.